GACGGAGGGUGCAAGCGUUGUUCGGAAUCACUGGGCGUAAAGCGCGUGUAGGCGGUUGAAUAAGUCGGAUGUGAAAGCCCGGGGCUCAACCCCGGAAGUGCAUUCGAAACUGUUCGGCUCGAGUACGGGAGAGGGAAGUGGAAUUCCUGGUGUAGAGGUGAAAUUCGCAGAUAUCAGGAGGAACACCGGUGGCGAAGGCGGCUUCCUGGACCGAUACUGACGCUGAGACGCGAAAGCGUGGGGGAGCAAACAGGAUUAGAUACCCUGGUAGUCCACGCUGUAAACGGUGAGCACUAGGUGUAGCGGGUAUUGACCCCUGCUGUGCCGCAGCUAACGCAUUAAGUGCUCCGCCUGGGGAGUACGGCCGCAAGGCUAAAACUC
Molecule: ribosomal RNA, 381 nt
Filed under: uncultured bacterium
Lineage: Bacteria
Description: bacterial SSU rRNA
Rfam family: Bacterial small subunit ribosomal RNA
Source: RNAcentral